This 864-nucleotide ribosomal RNA is filed under the name Montenegrina skipetarica rugosa. Its description in RNAcentral is "partial 16S ribosomal RNA". The stretch from base 359 to 600 matches the Rfam family "Archaeal large subunit ribosomal RNA", at positions 1787 to 2143 of the family's 2987-position model. Lineage: Eukaryota; Metazoa; Mollusca; Gastropoda; Stylommatophora; Clausiliidae. The record is from RNAcentral.
AAAAACAGUUAUUAUUACAUUACCCGAAUAUAAAAGAUCUAAGUGUAUAUUAAGUUGUUAGACUAUUUUGUUGUGUACUGUGGCAUUAGUUACUAAGACAAUACCUUAGAGGUGAAAGGCCUUCAAUUUUGUAGAUAACUGGAUAAAUGUUAAAUAUAUUAAGUUUAAAAUAAACUUACACAGUGAUAAGAUUUUGUAAGAUAUAAAUUUUUGUAUAAUUUAUCGCUGCCAGAGACUAAUAAUUUUAGGCAUAUCUUUGACGAUUAAUAAUGUUACCAUAAAAUAAUUAUAUAUUAAUAUUUUACUUUACUAUGCCUGCCUAGUAAGUAGAUAAUGUAUAAAUAAGUAUAUACAAAUAUAAAUUUUAAGUAAGGAACUCGGCAAAUAAAGAGUACGACUGUUUAACAAAAACAUAGCCGGUAGCUAUAUAAUUAUCGGUGAUACCUGCCCAGUGAAUUUUUAACGGCCGCAGUACUAUGACUGUGCAAAGGUAGCAUAAUCAUUUGGCUUUUAAUUGAAGUCUGGCAUGAAAGGAUAAACGUACUUUAGCUGUCUAGAUACAAAAUUUAUUAAAAUUAUUUAUAGGGUGAAAAUACCCUAAUUAAGAAAAAAAGACGAGAAGACCCUUAGAAUUUUAAGCAAAAGCCAACUUUGAUAGGGCGUGAUUUUUGUUGGGGCAACAUUUUUUCAGGGAAAACAAAAAAUUUAUAUUAGAACUACAAAACGAAUGUGUUUAAUAAAGUAAAAAUUACCUAAGGGAUAACAGCAUAAUUUUAAGUAAAGAUUGUGACCUCGAUGUUGGAUUAGGAACUAUUAAGGCUAGUCGUUUUAAUAUAAUAGGUUCUGUUCGAACUUUACUUCCUA